RNAcentral lists this ribosomal RNA (494 nucleotides) under uncultured bacterium. RNAcentral describes it as "partial 16S ribosomal RNA". It matches the Rfam family "Bacterial small subunit ribosomal RNA", at positions 28 to 507 of the family's 1533-position model. The record is from RNAcentral.
GACGAACGCUGGCGGCGUGCUUUAGGCAUGCAAGUCGAACGCGAAAGCCCCUUCGGGGGUGAGUAGAGUGGCGAACGGGUGAGUAACACGUGGGUAACCUGCCCCUCGCAGGGGGAUAACCGGGGGAAACCCCGGCUAAUACCCCGUACGCUUGCUGGGACGCAUGCUCCGGCAAGGAAAGGUAGCUUCGGCCAUCCGGCGAGGGAGGGGCCCGCGGCCCAUUAGCUAGUUGGUGGGGUAACGGCCCACCAAGGCGACGAUGGGUAGCUGGCCUGAGAGGGUGGUCAGCCACACUGGGACUGAGACACGGCCCAGACUCCUACGGGAGGCAGCAGCCAGGAAUCUUGCGCAAUGGGCGAAAGCCUGACGCAGCAACGCCGCGUGGGCGAUGAAGGCCUUCGGGUCGUAAAGCCCUGUUGUCGGGGACGAAGGGCGAAGGGUUAAUAGCCCCUAGCCUGACGGUACCCGACGAGGAAGCCCCGGCUAACUACGUG